GAUGUCGGGGAUCAUCGCUGACUCCACCAGCCCGCCGAGCGGCCGUCGCGAAGGUCAAGGUGAGCGGCGCAGGGAGAGGCAACCAGGCGAGCGGAGAGAUCUGACGACACACCUGCUCUGACGGCAACCCGUCUCUGCGAACGGCCCAGCACAGUAGGGGCCCAUCCAUCAUCGACGCCGAGGGAGCACAGCGCUAACGCGGGCGGUCCGAAGAGUCACGAGCGACUGAAGAGCAACGGCGAGGCGAGCGGUGCUGAAGCUCGGCAGGGGCGGAGCAAUCGCGACUCGCGAGCGAGCAGAGAGACACGAGGCGAGAUGUGCGUGUGAGAUGGGCGAGAUAGGAGAGAUGGACGAGUUGGGCCCCACGGUUCUAUUCGUUCCUCUUUGUACGCGAGAUCUAAUCUGUCUUAUUAUUUUUUUAAUAGGAGGAGCGUCUCCAUGCAGCAUCCUAGGAGCUGCUGCGGCAGGCCAUCGCCCGUGGGCAGAUAAGGAAGCACAUAGGACUGCUGUCAAAAAAAGGAAGCACAUGAACACCUGUCCAGCCACGAAGAGGCCAGCAAGGUCUGAAUUCCUGUCGUGCGAGCAAACAAGAGGGAUCUUUAAACAACCCUGAUUCUCGCUGGUCGCUACCAGCAGGGGGUGGAGCUUAUCGCUGUGAGAUUAAUUAUUCCUAGUAUAUUCCCUCGAUCCAAAUAUAAGGAACCGCAACGUUAUAAAUUUGUCUACAAAAUAUAAAGGAUUCA
RNAcentral lists this long non-coding RNA (743 nucleotides) under Sorghum bicolor (sorghum). Its description in RNAcentral is "long non-coding RNA (SBIC_LNC013218)". The record is from RNAcentral. Lineage: Eukaryota; Viridiplantae; Streptophyta; Magnoliopsida; Poales; Poaceae.